RNAcentral lists this ribosomal RNA (600 nucleotides) under uncultured Janthinobacterium sp. Its description in RNAcentral is "bacterial SSU rRNA". It matches the Rfam family "Bacterial small subunit ribosomal RNA", at positions 786 to 1391 of the family's 1533-position model. Lineage: Bacteria; Pseudomonadati; Pseudomonadota; Betaproteobacteria; Burkholderiales; Oxalobacteraceae. The record is from RNAcentral.
CCUGGUAGUCCACGCCCUAAACGAUGUCUACUAGUUGUCGGGUCUUAAUUGACUUGGUAACGCAGCUAACGCGUGAAGUAGACCGCCUGGGGAGUACGGUCGCAAGAUUAAAACUCAAAGGAAUUGACGGGGACCCGCACAAGCGGUGGAUGAUGUGGAUUAAUUCGAUGCAACGCGAAAAACCUUACCUACCCUUGACAUGGCUGGAAUCCCCGAGAGAUUGGGGAGUGCUCGAAAGAGAACCAGUACACAGGUGCUGCAUGGCUGUCGUCAGCUCGUGUCGUGAGAUGUUGGGUUAAGUCCCGCAACGAGCGCAACCCUUGUCAUUAGUUGCUACGAAAGGGCACUCUAAUGAGACUGCCGGCGACAAACCGGAGGAAGGUGGGGAUGACGUCAAGUCCUCAUGGCCCUUAUGGGUAGGGCUUCACACGUCAUACAAUGGUAUAUACAGAGCGCCGCCAACCCGCGAGGGGGAGCUAAUCGCAGAAAGUGUAUCGUAGUCCGGAUUGUAGUCUGCAACUCGACUGCAUGAAGUUGGAAUCGCUAGUAAUCGCGGAUCAGCAUGUCGCGGUGAAUACGUUCCCGGGCCUUGUACACACC